UCCGGAGUCGGUCCUUUAUGGCAAGCCAAAGUGGUCAAAAUUCGCCACUUUAUUGGCGCGUUUGUAAUAAAAACGGCGUCAAAUACGCCGUUUUGUGGUAAAAAAAAACGGUGUUAAA
This is a long non-coding RNA of Melanotaenia boesemani (Boeseman's rainbowfish), 118 nucleotides long. RefSeq lists it as uncharacterized. The record is from RefSeq and is a predicted model, not a curated record. The transcript has 3 exons. NCBI's taxonomy places the organism in Eukaryota, Metazoa, Chordata, Actinopteri, Atheriniformes, Melanotaeniidae.